AUCUCGCGUCGGUCAAGCUCUAUUGUACGCGCGCGUGCCCCAGCCACCCCGCCCGGAUCGGGAGGAUUAGGGUUCAGCGCCAGCUGCUGCUGCCUACCAUAGCACAUGCGCGCGCGCCCCGGCCACCCCGCCUGCUCUCGAAUCGGGAUGAUUAGGGUCUGACGCUAGCUGCUGCUGCCUACCGUCGGUCUCUCCGCGGCGGCGGAGAAGGAAAAGGGAGAUGGAGGGGCUCCUGUAGAAGCUGAAGGGGCUCGACGCCUACCCCAAGGUCAAUGAGGACUUCUACAAGCGCACGCUCUCUAGCGGCAUCGCCAGGCUCGUCUCUGCCCUCAUCAUGCUACUCAUCUUCGUCUCUGAAACAAAAACCUGAAGAUACAAGAGGAUAACUGACGAACACUGUAGCAACAUUUCGUCAGUUAUCCGACGAUGGAGGUGCGAGAGCAUUGAUGAAGAUGGAUGGUUCAGAUGCUGAGUAACUGGAGUACGAGAACCAAUGUAAUUCAAAUUGUAUUGUGUUGAGUGUACUUCAUUUCACCCACUGUAAUUUGCGGCAGCUUAUAAGCGGAGACCUCGCUGAAGGGAAAGUAGGAAGGAAAGAACAUUUAGCAUAUCUGUAGUUAGUCUAGCUUUCGUCUUCCUCUUGUAUCAGACCAAAUCAGGGUCUUUGAGUAAAUUUCGACCACAAAUUCAUGAGGAACUCAACUUCUGUGUCGAAAUUAGCUUAA
Triticum dicoccoides is the source of this 725-nucleotide long non-coding RNA. RefSeq lists it as uncharacterized. Lineage: Eukaryota; Viridiplantae; Streptophyta; Magnoliopsida; Poales; Poaceae. The record is from RefSeq and is a predicted model, not a curated record. The transcript is spliced from 2 exons.